Molecule: transfer RNA, 73 nt
Filed under: Streptosporangiaceae bacterium
Lineage: Bacteria; Bacillati; Actinomycetota; Actinomycetes; Streptosporangiales; Streptosporangiaceae
Also listed under: 2 other names
Description: tRNA-Glu
Rfam family: tRNA
About the family: Transfer RNA (tRNA) molecules are approximately 80 nucleotides in length. Their secondary structure includes four short double-helical elements and three loops (D, anti-codon, and T loops).
Source: RNAcentral
GGCCCCGUCGUCUAGUGGCCCAGGACGCCGCCCUCUCAAGGCGGUAGCGCCGGUUCAAAUCCGGUCGGGGCUA